This 26289-nucleotide long non-coding RNA is filed under the name Eucalyptus grandis. RNAcentral's name for it is "long non-coding RNA (EGRA_LNC000997)". The stretch from base 19731 to 19863 matches the Rfam family "Bacterial small subunit ribosomal RNA", at positions 1388 to 1520 of the family's 1533-position model. The record is from RNAcentral. Lineage: Eukaryota; Viridiplantae; Streptophyta; Magnoliopsida; Myrtales; Myrtaceae.
UGAGGACCCAAGAUGCCAUGUCUGGCAACACAUGAGUUGUGUCAUCUUUCCUGAAAAACCUGGGGAGGCUCCUGAAAAUUUUUAUUGUGAGCUGUGUCGUCUUAGUUGUGCUGAUCCGUACGCAUCUCAUAGUAGCAAACCUUCGCAUUUCAUCAAUAUAUCAACUGGGAAAUGUGACGUUCGGUCUUCAUAGACAUGGCUUUUUGUAUGGAAUGAUGAUAUUGACAUCCCUCUUGAGAAAUUUUAUUUAUUAUUCCAUGCGAAACGAUGACCUAACUUCUCAGUUUUAGUUAGUUUCAUCUGAUCUUUAAAUUGAUCACUGGAAGUGCUAUAGAGAAGGUGUUCUUAUAAAUUGAAUCGAUACUGGAUAAUUGACCUAAAUUGUCAUGGACAGACCAAGAGUAUUACAAAGUAAGUAAAUUGCAUUAGUAUAAGGAUAGAUGACUUACUUCACCAAGACAAAUCGAUGACAAUCAUAUAGAUAUGCGCAUGGUAAGUGGUUCGAUUUCUUGUCUAUAAGGCUUAUCAAGGUGGAGCCACAAGGAUGAUCAGACUAGCCACAGGCUUGUGGACUAUGUUGGGUCCUCAUGACUCUGGCUUGGUCAAAGAGCUGACUCGAGUCGUGAGCAUGCGGACCGAGAUGGGGACUCUUGACACCAUGAAAAUUCUUCGGGAUUGAGAUGGGUGACUCGUACCGCGAGCAUGCGGUCGGAGUGGUAUCAAUCUUAAUACCAUCCUAAAUGAUCUUAUGCGGCCCAGGUCUGGCGGUAGGCUAUGUGUGUAAGAGUGUAGUGCAAAUGCAAGGCAUGCACAAUAGUUUAUGUCAAACAACACUUCAAUAAUUCGAAUCUAAAACAUUUAUUCUCAACUCCAACCUGCAAGACAAGGUUAGCAAUCACUACUCCCUUUAUACCUCACAAUCUGCAAGAACAUUUAACACCUAAAUGUUAGGGAUGUACCUGUGAUUCUCACUGCAAAAAAAAUAUAAGAAAAUUGGCUUAAGUCCACUAAGGUUUCAACUUAAGUCUCCAGCGGAAUCGCCAAGCUGUUGCGAUCAAUUUUUCGGGUGAAUCACCUAGGGUUUGGUUAAUGGAUUACUAAGCCUAAACUUAGCUCAGGCUCUCUCAAGUCCAUAUCAAUUCACGACUUAGGUUCAAAUUCUUUAACAUGUAAUUGAUUCUUAAUUAGGAGUCGUCACUAAUUAGUUUAUGGUAGGUCGAUUAGACACCUGAGUAAAAUAAUAGGAGAAUUAUUUUACUCCUACGAACCAGAGAGUUUGGGUACGGGGAUUUGAUUACACUAGAUUUCUCUAAUGCCAUUUCAGUACCAUUCUUUUAUUUUCAAAAAUGCUUUUGCAGACAAUUUUGAUUAAUUUUAAAUUUAUUUCCUUAACAUAUGAGGUGAUCAUACGGGUGCGCAAAUUACCAAUUUAACACUUAAGAAAGCGAUGAAUAAGUUACAGAACUUACCUCAAAGCAAUGAAAGUAUUUGCAAUGUUAAAUCAGAAUUCAUAUCAACAACCCUAAAUAUGAUUUUUAAUUAACACGCAAUUAUUUGUUUUUUUUUUCACUUUUUUAAUGCAAUGUAAUAUAAUUAAAUGACCUAAUUCUAAUAACAUGCAAUUUCUAAUUAAAUGGACCUAAUAACAAUCUAUAAAUAACGUGCAUUUCAUGAAUCUAAUCAUAUAUGACAUUUACAUGACUUUUUUUAUUUUUCCUAAAAUAUGCAAUCUAUCGUAAUAUGCAAUGACGUGCAAAGAAUGCCAUAAUUCUAAUUUUUUUCUUUUUUUAUUACGAAAUUCGAAAUGAAAAUUGUCAAAUAAUUAAACAUGCAAUUCAAAUUUAAAACUAACAUCCUAAAUGAUUGCAUUUUUUUUUUUUGGAUUUUUUUUUAAGGAAUUCGAAAUAAAUAAAUUUCCUAUUCUAAACAAGCAAAAUAUAUUCUAACAUGAACCUAAUCUAACUCAAAUAUAUAUUUUUGGGUUUUUCUUUUACGGGAGCAAUCAAAUAAAGGCAUCAAGAAAGCAUGGCACCAAAUCAAGCAAGAUAUCAUCCAUGUCCAUUUAAUUUUGGGAAAUAAAUUGACAAAUCGUAUCUCGCGCAUAAGAUCGGAUUGACCAAUUUUUAAAUAACAUCACAAAUCAUAUCUCGAGCGUGAGAUCGGAUUGGUGAUUUUUCCGUAUGAUUGCGGGUGGUAUUUCGAGCAUGAAAUCGGACCGUUAAUCAUAUGUACGUUGCAUAAUUAGGAAUAUUUCCCAAUUUAAAAAGAUACUCGAUAUUUUGUGAAUACGAUAGCAUCGUUUAAAGAUUCAUACGAGAUAGCAAUUUCACAAAUUAGGCAAUAAAAAUAUACGAAGAUCAAUUUGAUGAAAAUUAUUACUUAAAUUGCAAUAUCGCUCAGAUACUGUUUCCAAAUUUGAAUGAUGGAAGGCUCGCAAGGGGUGACCGGGAUUGCAACCAGCUCCACAAUGUGGCAUGACCAGCAGUGAGAGAAAUGGCUCACGUCGGGGACGUCAUGGUGGAGAUCGUGUGUGAGGUGGGUUUUGCUUCAUUAUCGUCGAAGAGAGAGAACCGCCAACGUGGGAACUAGACUUGCGACUGAAACCUAAUAAUAGAUUUUGGCGACUGACGUGCUCUUGAUUUGCAAACGUCACGUUGCUUAAUGCAACUGAGAUCUCCAAUUUCCACCUUCCUUGAUGUUGUCAUUUUCUUUGGAAUUCAUUGCUCUGGAUCACGUGGCCAUGAAUUUCAAUUGAAGCUCCUUAUUUUGGCCAACAUGUUGUGAUAAUGGAACAAAAUUCGUCUCCUGUGACUCACGAUGAUUCAGCAUAGGCACAACCAAUCUUUCUUCUUUUCUUUUAAUUGGCCUUCACUGUUGGCUCCAUGAAUCCACAAGCUCAACAAAGCUUUUCCUCGUAGAACCUUUGAUCGUGUGCUCUUGUUGUGGCUGCCCCAAAGAAGUAAUUCUUGCUCGUCCAUGUGUUGGUCUGGCGAAGUGGACUUUUGCUUUGUUGGGUGAUGGUCAGCAAACUUUAGCGAUGAAGGCGUGAGGGGAUGAAUCUGUUGGUCGUUCCGUCGGGCACAAUUGCGAGGCACCAAAAGGAUGUGAUGAGCGCGAGAAUUGCUGACUAUGAGCAAGAACGUUGGUCUCUGUGUCAACGAGGGCACGAUAGCAAGAACUGGUUGCAGCGCUGGAUCUUCACUAGUGCAGGUCGACUUUGAGGCAAGAGGAAGCAGCCGGGGUACUCGAUGAGGGACGGUAGAUGUGAUGGAAGAACUAAGUUUUGAAACUUCUCUGGAUGUUCUCCCUUCUUCUCAAUGGGAUACCUCUCGCUAUGGUGUUUCACAUUUGGCCGUGUAUUCAAUCUGUGUGGCCUUCUGAAACCCUACAAGAAAAACCUUUUUAUAGGUUGAAGAUUAGGGUUUUAAUUUCCUUUUCAAAUUAACAUCCGUGAAUAUUUCUUUUUCGCACGCAAUAUCACUUUUUUUAUUUUCUACAUCUCCUGAUUUUAUCGCCUAAAGAUAAUAUUGCAACCCGAUUUUCUUAAAUUUCAAAAAUCCAUCGUAAUAUCAUUUCAAAUCUCCAUUUAGAUAAUUUUUGUCAUUAAAAGAAAACGGGCUCGGGCCAAUUUAUUUGCUUCGUGGGCUUAGUCCAACCUAUCAAAUUAAAGCUUAGAACCAUUAAAUCAAACUCAUUUGUCACCAACCCAAUGUAAAUGCAAAUUAAAUAAAUGCACCUAAAACUAUAUGUUAUGCAAUUAAUUAAUUAACUAAUACUUUUUUAGAGGUUAAAAUUAAUCUCUAAUUUUUUAAUACGAUAAAUGACUAAACGGGUUGCCAAAAUUUAGGUGUCAACAAAUACAUUCUAAGAAGAAAUAUUGUAAUAUCAAUCUCAUCGAUCUCAUAAGUAUCAUACCAAAUCCCAUCCAUUGAAUCACUUUUUCAAAAACGACGAGACAUCUAAGUCAUACAAAUAAAGAGAUCUAUUCAUUGAUAAGAAAAAGAAAAAAUGUGAACGGUGAUUGGAUUGAUGAUAAAAUAGAAUCCUGGGUCGUGAACAAUGAUUCGAUUGAUGAUAAAGAAAGAGAAUUAUUGGUUCAAUUUUCCACCUUAAUGACAGAAAAAAAGGAUUGAUCAAAUUCUAUUGAGUUUGACUCAUAGUGAUCAUUUAACAAAGAAUGACUCUAGUUAUCAAAUGAUUGAACAACCGGGAGCAAUUUACUUAUGAUACUUAGUUGACAUUCAUAAAAAGUAUCUAAUGAAUUAUGAGUUCAAUACAUUCUGUUUAGCAGAAAGACGGAUAUUCCUUGCUCAUUAUCAGACAAUCACUUAUUCACAAACCUCAUGUGGGACUAAUAGUUUUCAUUUUACAUCUCAUGGAAAACCCUUUUCGCUCCGCUUAGCCCUAUCCACUUUGACCAACGGGAUGGUCUUGGUGUGCAAAACCUGCUCCUUGCGGUCCACGAUCUGAACCGGGCUUUCAAUGUACGACACCCUGUUAUCCACGUCUAAUUCCUCAAAAUUUAGAACGUGUGUCGGAUCUAGUUCAUACUUCCUUAACAUCGACACGUGAAAGACGUCAUGCACUUGUGCCAACAUCGGCGGUAGUGCAAGACGAUACGCCAGUCCCUAUUUUUUCCAAAAUCUCAAAGGGACCUAUGUACCUCGGACUCAAUUUCCCCUUUUUGCCAAAGCGGGAAGUACCUCUCAUCAGUAACACCUUCAGAAAGACGUGCUCAUCAACUUGGAACUCCAAUGGCCUUCGACGCUUAUCGGCAUAACUUUUCUGACAGCUCUGAGCAGUUUUUAAUCUGUUUCUGAUGACUGCAACUACCUCCACUGACUGUGACAUCCUGAAAUUCGACCCCGUUUCGAUAAAAUGAAAUGUGCAUUUUUUCGACGUGCCUAUGGUCCUUUUUCUCUGAGUUGAUCACUCACGAGUUAGCUAAUCUAUUGGGUGAAGCCGUUAAGGGAUAUAACCGCGGUAAAAUCCCUAAAAGCUACCUAAUUGGUUGAAUUUGACUAAAAUCGCGUCCGGUCGAUUUUAACCAUGAAAUUUAAUUCGGUCUUGGGAAAUCGAAUAUUCAAGCGUGUCACAAUUCAUUUUUAGGACCGUCUCAUCGUCUGUCAAUUUAUUGACGAGUCCGAAAUUUCAAGAAAGAAAUUAUCGGAGGAAUAAUCGAAGACCGGAAGAAAAUAAAAAGGGAAUGAGAAAAGGAAAAUAAUAUAAAUAAGAAAAUUGGGUUUUCUUAUUAAAGUGUUAUUUUCUUUCCCUUUUUCUUUUCUCUUUUUCUCUCUUCUUUUCUCUCUCUUCUCUCUCCUCUCCCCUCCCCCUCGUGCGAAUUCCCUUCCCCCUUUUCCACCGAAGUGUGGGCUAUCACCCACUUGCCUUUCCUCUCUCCCUUUGACCAUUCAAACCCAUCUUUUCUCUCUCUUAUCUCUUCUUCUUUCUCCUCUCUCUUCUCCCCCUCUCCCUCGUCUCUCUUCUCCCCCUCUCCCUCGUAACCGACUUCUUCUUCUUCCUUCUUGUCUGUGCGAACCAGCGAACCAGACAGCCGCUGCCGUCGCCGCCCAUGCACCGCCGCAGCUCACCGCCAGGCCGUCGUCCCGCCGCCUGCGCUCGCUGCCGCCCUUCCCCCGCGCGAUCCAGCGUCUGUUCGGCCUCUGUUCAGCCACCGUGAGCGGCUGAGCAAGCCACCGGAGCCGCUGAGCAAGCCACCGGAGCCGCCGUGCAGCCUCGUCAAACCACCGCCUAACUUCCCAACCCCUUGUUGCCCCCAACCGUCUCUCUUUCUCUCUGUUUUGCAGCCGAACCAGCAAACCCGCGAGUGGGUUUCUAGCCGGUUUGUGGGCCGUUUUGGGCCGUUUCCGGGCCCCGAACCCGAGCCGUGCUUUGAAAAGAAUUGUUCCUCGCGUCGCCCCCGUCGGAUUGAUCCGAUUUGCGCGCGAUUUGGUGAGUAAUCUCACUAAUCCCGGAUUAGUUGGCUAAUUAUGCUUAAGGUUGGUUUAGUUUUAAUUAAUUAUGUUUAGGUUGUUAGAUUAGAAUAAAUUAGUCAAUUGUGAUGCGAUUUAGAUAAAUUGAAUGUGUAAUUAGCAAGUAGAAGUGGUCUACUAUUUAUUGGAAGUGUCUCGGGAUUUUUCCCGACCCUUAGUGGGCUUCAAUUAGGCUUUUCGGGCCUAAGUGGAAUUUUUUGUAUUUAAAUAUUAAUUUUCGGAAUUUAAUUAAUUAAUUAAUUAUUUUCCGAAAAUUCAACUGGGAUGGCCAGUGAUCGGAAUAUUAUGCUGAUGACUAUGGUGAAGUAAAUAAUGCCCUUAUUUUGAGCUAAACAGAAUUUUUAAUAUUUAAUAAUUAAUUUUCGAAAUUAAUUAAUUAAUUAAUUAAUUAUUUUUCGGAAAUUAAGAUUGAGAUGGCUGACGACCGAAAUUUCAUGCUGAUCGUCGUGGCGCAGUCCGUUUAUUUAUUUGAGCUUUAAUUUGUGCUGAAUUGAUUUAAUUGUGGAUUUUUAGGAUAUGUUCCUAAAUUGAUUAUUUGGGUAAAUUGAGUACGAAUUAAGGUUGUGGAUAAUUACUUUAGAAAUGGAAUGAAUCAUCAUGAAAGGCACGUGGCUCGGUGAAUAGUACAUCAUCUCGGAGAAUGCACGUGGCUCGGUGAUUUGGUAUACCGCUUCGGAGAAUGCACGUGGCUCGAUGAUUAGUACGUCGCCUUGGAGAAUGCACGGGGCUUGAUGAUUAGAUAUAUCACCUCGGAGAAUGCACAUGGCUCGGUGACGAAAUAUGUCGCCUUGGAGAAUGCAUGUGGCUCGGUGAUUAAGUGUGGCAUCUUGAAAGAGACGUGGGCUCGGUAAUUUGAUGCAUUACCUCGGAGAAUGCACGUGGUCUCAAUGAGUACAUUUGGCAUCUUGAAGAGACACGUGGACUCGGUGACUUGAUGCAUCACCUCGGAGAAUGCACGUGGGCUCACUGAUUCAGAAUGGCAUUUUAAAGGGCACGUGGGCUCGGUAAAGUAAUGCAUUAACUCGGAGAAUGCACGUGGCUCGAUGAUCGGUUCCAUCACCUCAGAGAAUGCACGUGGCUUGGUGAUAAAUAAUAUCGCCUCGGAGAAUGCACGUGGCUCGGUGAUUGGUUUUAUCAAUUGAGAUUGUAAAGCAAUGACUAGAAUGAUCUAGAGAUAGUCCGUCUGACAUGUAAUCAAUUAGGUCGAUUGAUCAUUACUUUGAUUUGACGUUGUGAAUUAAUUGACUGAAUGGAAAUGACUGUGAGUGGUCUUGUUGGAAUAUAAUCGACUAGGUCGAUUUGAUCGAUGCUUCGAUCGGUGAUAUGAUUGCUUGGGUGCCUAUUAUGAAUUGUACUACUUGCAGGUGAGAUCUGAGGCCAAGGUAAGUCCUCUGCCCUGUGCGUGUUUAGGCAGCCUGUAGUAUAAUAGUUUACUAAUCUGGCCUUAGUGGGGUAGAACUCGCUGAGACGUAAUUUCAUCCCGGUUUGGGGAAAUCAUUUUAGGACCUCGCUGAGGAGAUGAGGAGGAGGAGUCUGAGAAGGAUUUUUGGGAGAAUAAGAUAAUUCCGAGAGGGGCCUUGAGCACGGCCCGGGUGAACUAAAAUUCUAUCUUCUUUUGAGAUCUCCAUUUUGAUGUAUAGAGAUAGAGUAAAAAGUUGUGAAGUACUCUCUGGUUUAUGUUUUGUAUAAAAGUUUAGUUAUAAGUUUCAAUAUGAAAAAUAUGGCCCUGCUUUUCUAUCCCAUCGUUUUAUUGUCUGGGGAUUUUAACUGCUUCUGCAUGUGCUUAAUAAAUGAAAAGGUCGGCGAUACAUAGUCCUGGGAUAUCGCAUUAUAAAAUCGACCAAAGGAGAAGGAUCUGUGUGUGCUCGAGGAUCGGGGCGUGACACUGACCGCUGAACCAACUCUGGACCGGUGAUCUUUCUUUCCCCUACUUCAUCCCAACACACUGGCGUUCUGCAUGCUCUGCCAUACAACACUUCAAAAGGAGCCAUUUGAAUAAUCUACUAAUAACUGUUGUUGUAGGCAAACUCGACCAGAUGAAGCUAUUCUUCCCAGUUUCCUUUGAAGUCCAAGACGCAAGCUCGCAGCAUAUCCUAAAGAGUCUGAAUUGUCCUCUCAGACUGGCCAUCAAUCUGCGGGUGAUAAGCUGUACUGUACUGCAGCUUCGUUCCUAAAGCGGAUUGUAAGCUCUUCCAAAAAGCGGCGGUGAACCUCGGGUCUCUGUCUGAAGUAAUUGUAAUCGACACUCCAUGCAUACGAACUAUCUGACGUACAUACAGAUCUGCAAGUCUAUCCAAACUCAAGUCCUUUUGAACUGCAAUGAAGUGAGCUGACUUUGUCAGCUUGUUGACUACUACCCAAAUCGAAUCAUUUACUCUCUGGCUCCUCGGUAAUCCCGUCACGAAGUCCAUCGUGAUAUGCUCCCAUUUCCAUUAUGAAAUCUCGAGGGGUUGCAGAAGUCCUCCCGGUUUGCAAUGCUGAGCUUUCACUUGCUGACACGUCAAAACAUUUGGCGACAUGCUUGGCAAUGUUCGUCUUCAUGCCACGCCACCAGUAGUGUUGACGCAGAUUCUGAUACAUUUUAGUACUACCAGGAUGAAUGCUGUAACUACUACGAUGCGCUUUUGAUAAAAUCUCCUCUCUAAGCUUCACAUCAUCAGGUACAACCAAUCGCCCUUGGAACCUCAACGUUCCAUCUUCAUAAAUCUGGAAGUCAGCCUUCCUCUUCUCAGUAUCCUCUUGCAGGAUUUUCUGAACAUCCGGAUUCGUCUGCUGAAGCGUUCUGAUUUUGACCUGCACUUCCAGCUCAAUUCUAAGGGUGGCCAUAAGAUUUGAAAGGUGGCCCACCUCAAAUUUGAAAUCUGAAUCUCGUGCUCUCUUAAUUAGACCCCAUUUCUUGAGUACCAUCUGAGUAACUGAAGACUUUCUACUCAGUGCAUCGGCGACUUGUUCGCCUUCCUAGGUGAUCCAAAAUCUCAUAGUCAUAGUCCUUUAAGAGCUCCAUCCAUCGACGAUGUCUCAUAUUCAACUCCUUCUGAGAGAAUAAGUACUUGAGACUCUGAUGGUCAGUGAAGAUCUGGAAUAUUUCUCUGUACAGAUAAUGCCUCCAAAUCUUCAGGGCAAAGAUGAUCGCUGCAAGUUCUAAGUCAUGCGUCGGAUAAUUCAACUCGUGAGGUCUUAACUAACGGGACGCAUACGCAACAACCCUACCAUGCUGCAUCAAUACGCAACACAAUCCUUUAAACGACGCAUCACUGUAGAUCUCAAACCCUCUUGGACCAGAUGGAAUAGUAAGCACAUGUGCGGUAGUUAGCUUCUGCUUAAGCUCUUAGAAACUACUCUCGCACUUAUCCGUCCACAUAAAUUUUUCUUCCUUCUUCAUCAGUCUCAUCAUUGGUGAUGCUAACACUGAAAACCCUUCUACAAACCGUUUGUAAUACCCUGCUAAACCCAGAAAACUUCUGAUUUCUGUCACUGUAGUCGGUCUCGGUCAAUUGAUCAUUGCUUCAAUCUUGGCUGGAUCCACUAAGAUUCCCUCUCCGAAGAUGACAUGACUUAGGAAAGCCACACGAGUUAGCAAAAACUUGCACUUACUAAACUUGACGUACAGCUCGUGAUCUCUCAAAGUCUAAAGCAUUAUCCUUAAGUGCCUUUUAUGAUCCUCAAUACUUCUUGAAUACACCAGGAUGACGUCGAUGAAAACAAUUACAAACUGAUCUAAGUACUCUUUGAACACCCGAUUCAUUAGAUCCAUGAAAGUAGCUGGGGCAUUUAUCAACCCAAACGGCAUCACAGUAAACUCAUAAUGGCCGUAUCGGGUGCGAAACGCCGACUUUGGUAUGUUUUCCUUCUUAAUCCUUAACUGAUGAUACCUUGUUCUCAAGUCGAUCUUAGAAAAUAUCGACGCUCCCUGAAGCUGAUCAAACAAGUCAUCAAUCCUCAGCAAUGGAUACUUGUUCUUAAUCGUCACCUGAUUGAGUUAACGAUAGUCGAUGCACAAGCGCAAGGAACCAUCCUUCUUCUUUACGAACAGAACUAGCGCUUUACAAGGUGAUGCACUAGGACGAAUAAAUCAUUUAUCCAACAACUCUUGCAUCUGCACCUCUAGUUCCUUAAGUUCUGAUAAGGCCAUCCAAUAAGAAGCUUUAGAGAUCAGCUCUGUCUCGAGGGCUAAUUCAAUCACAAACUCUAUCUCUCUCUCUAGCGGCAAACCUGGCAACUCUUCCAGGAACACGUUUGGGAACUCUUGUACCACUGCGAUAUCUUCAAUCUUCGACUCCUCCACUGUCGUGUCUACGACAGUCGCCAGGUAACCUUGGCAACCCUUGCAUAGCAAGCAAGUUGCUUCGAGCGAUGAGAUUAAGGAAACCGAGGGUCCUCCUCGACUCCCAAUAAAUUCGAAACUCUCACCCCCUAACGGGUUAAACUGAAUCGCCUUGCGAUAACAGUCUAUUUUAGCUCGUUGCUUAGUGAGCUAGUCCAUACCAAUUAUCACAUCAAAAUCAAACAUGGCUAGGACUAUCAAGUCUAUCCUCCCCUUUCGCUCACCAAUCACUAACUUGCAACCAAGACAACCCACUGUAGCUAACACCUUAUCCUUCAACGACGUAGAUACGCUAAUCACAGACUCCAACAACUCAGGAAUUAAUUCUACCAACUUAACAUAUAUUUCAGCUAUAAAUGAAUGAGAAGCUCCAGGAUCAAAUAAAGCAUAAGCAAGUUGGUCGUUCAGUAAGACCAUACCUGUGAUCACGUUAGGCGCUUCCUCCGCCUGUCCUCUGGUGAUCGCAUAAGCCCUUCCUUGAGCUGGAGGUCGGUUCAAUCGACCUUGUGGCAUGAUCUGCGGCGUGAUUCCUCUGUUCUGACCCAACAGUGUCAACGGCGGCAACUGACACUGUCCCAUCUGAUUCCUAGGGCAAUUCCUAGAUAUAUGACCCUGGUGGCCACACUCAUAACAUGCACCUGUCCUAGAGAGACACGGGGCUGAACCAUGUCGUCUUCCACAUGAAAGACACACUCCAUGAUGGUUUGGUGAUGGUUUCCCUAUCCCACCCUUCCUGUUGAGUGGAACAAGAUAUCUUCCUCCAGACAUCAGCCUCUUUCCAAAUUGAUUACCUUCUCUAUUCGAAUUAAAUCGCAAUCCAGAUGCGGCAGCUCUCUCAUUCUGGUCUUUCUCAAUCAACUAGGCCCGUUUAUAAAGGUCCUUAUACUUCUUCAAAUCUAAUGGUACCAAAAAGCUCCUCACCUCUGGUCGGAGCCCAUCUCUAAACCUUCGAGCUCGGUUUGACGGUCUCUAAACUAACUCUAGGGCAUACUACGACAGCUCAGCGAACUUCGCUUCAUACUGAUUGAUUGUCAUCGUACCUUGACGAAAGUGUUGAAACUCCGCCAUCUUCAUCUCUCUAGCACAAUAAAAAAAGUACUUCUCAUUGAAGACCUCAAGAAAAACAUUCCACUCUGGAGCUACACCUUCAGGGAAUACUAUCCCUUUAGUAGUCUUCCACCAGGUAGCUGCGAUCCCCCUCAACUGAUAGGUUGCUAGAACGACCUUAUCUGCUUCGGUGCACAUCAGCAACUCAAAGGCAUUCUCUAACUCCUGAACCCAUAGUGUUGCAGCUUUGGGAUCUCCCACUCCCGUGAAUGUUGGCGGAUUCAACCUCAGAAAAUGUUGUACCAACUUUUACCUAGGCCUCCUAGUGGCCACAUUCUCAGGUGGAAUUUCAACAGGAUCCACUUCAGGUUCCAACGACCGGUACGGCGGCAGCUACGGCAGCUACGGCAGCAGCAGCAGCAUUGGCGACAUUAGCAGCAUUAGUGGUAGCGGCGAUAGCGGCGGCUGAAGCGGCGGCCUGUUGGUCCAGUCUGUCACCCAUCAACUCAAACAUCUGCAAGAUUCCAACAAACCUCGAAUCCUCAGGGGCUACUGCAUCAUCUAGAGGCGAUGCUGCACCACUCACACUGGCUUUAACCUGCACUCUCCUCAGGGCACCUCGGGCACCGACCCUUAUCGACGACCCUCCCCAAAACACGAGGCCUACUGCUCUCUUCCUAGCAGCUCUCGGCACUCGGUCACUCAUGCUAUAAGCUCAAUAUAGAUGCCUAUUUGCAAAUUCUAAUACCACAUUAGAAUCUGAGUGACCUCGCAACAAGUUAACAAACAAUUACAAUCACUUGCAUCAGUAUAAUAAAAGCCUUUCCUACCAACUAUCCCAUGACUCCCACGCACCUUAUCACUCCAUACAUGAACCUGGCUCUGAUACCACUUAAACGGGGUUGUCACACCCCGAACCCCGAGACACGUGCACAACUCGCCAUGGUCAUGUAUAUGCGACAUUCCCAGGUAGUGUCGCCAACCCCAUUCAAUUAUUAUGCACAUACGGAACGUGUUAAGAAACCCCUGACAAAACAUACGGGAUAGGACAGCAGGAAAAUCAAUUCAAAAUCAAACAAACAUACUUUCAUAUAUCAUCAUUCCAGGGUUUACAUACACCAACAGGAUCCAGAGACUAUAUGCACCAAAAAUGAGUCAGAGUUUAUGUGCAUAAAAAAGGGGUCAGUCUACACAAACAUGGAUCGGUCCACCAAAAAAAGGAACAGUCCUAUGACUAUUGGUCGGCCUCGUUCGUCGAUCCCACAUCCUCCACAUUUGACUGCACUGGGUCCGGAGACGAUAGGUUAUCCACCCUACCAUCAAGAAGGUCAGCUACACCUUCACCCAGAAUAGCAUCCAUCACGGCCAGUGGAAUAUCAAAAUUAUCGAGUGGACCAAUCCUAAAGCCAUUGGCCCCAAAACGGAACCAAGCCCUAAACCUAUGCGGUACCUUAACAUCCUCGAUCUCCUAAAUCCAUACGGUGGUCUUGAUCAGCUCGUAGACCCAAUGGCUCCCAAGAUCAGGAAGGUUGUGCACCUGCUCGAUGAUCUGCACUGGGAUGCCCAUUCUUCUCCGGAGGUCUUGCCAUCUACGACCCUGUAAUAUUUUUCCCACAACGAGGUGAGACAUUGUCUCAGCAAGUUCACCCCUCCUAAACCCAUAUUAGAAAGAAAAUACGCUCUAGAGUUGUCUAGCCACAAAGCACAGAAGACUUACCUUGCCUUUUUGCCUUCCUGCAGAUUAGUACAAUUCAUAUCACUCAAUCAGAGGUAAUAAUAGGAACUUAAACCAUUGGAACACAAUCAAUUUCACUUAAUUUCGCAAUCACAACAAGCGUUUCAAAAUUAUUAUUCACCGCCACACAAGGGCAUAGCCUACUUGCAGUUCGGCUAUCUACUGAUAUAUAGCCAAGCAUCGUGUGACAUCCUGUGACAUCCUGAAUUUCUCAACCUGUUUUCUAUUGAAUUAAUCGGGCAUUUUGUUGAUGCGUUUAUAGGACUAUUCUCAUAGCCGAUCACUCUUGAGAUAAUUAGAUUGUCUUGGUAAGUAAUUAAGAAAAUUUAAGGCAAUAAACUUGAGAGUUCGAUCAAGAAUCGGCUUUUCAACCGUGCUCAUCUUUAGAAGCCAUUGCGGUAUAGUUAAAAAUCGAUUUAAGAUCAGAGAUAGGUCUGUUCGACUGAGAUGUAUGGCCGAUCGUGGGUGACUCCACUAAAUUGGAAAAUUCUCGUCAACCGACACUAAUUUGAUUUUACUGUCGUUUUGGUACCCUGUAUCCGUAAUUGAAUCAUCGAGAUUUUCACGACAAUCGAGAGUCGCCAUUGAGUCGAAUAGGUUUAUAGUGGUUCGAAGAAAAUCGACCACGGGUUAUUUGCCUUAAAAAGUUCUGAAAACCACCCGGUAGCCUAGGUUAUGCUAAAAACGCGCCAAAUGGAAAUUAACCGUCGAUUCAAGUCUGAUUUCAGAAAUUGAAGGUUCUGUCAUGUCACAAUAAAUUCUAGGAUCCACGACUCAGUCUCAGAAGAUUUUUCUGACAACCAAGACUUUUUGGGAAAAAGUCAGGUUAAGACCGUUUUCGUUCAGUUGAAGCCGCGGAUUAAUUUUGAUGGUGAAAUUGAGGAGUGUGAGGGAUUCUUGGAUAAAGAAAAUAAUCAAUUUGAUAAUGGAAAUAUCAAUUGAUUUUAGAAGAGUUAUUUGAGAGAAAUUUAAGAGGGAUUUUGGAUGCAAUGGCAAGUGGGGACCAAGAAAUCCAAGUUAAUAUUUCUCUUGAGUUUCUAUGAGCCAAUUUAAAAGAAAUUAGGAUUAGGAUUUUCUAUUUGAGGAAAUCCUUUUAUUUUUGUGAUAUUCCCAUUUCUUUUCCCUUUGUAGCCAAACACACCUUUUUCCCCUUUUCUCUCACUUUCUUUCUUUCUUUUUCUUUCUCUCUCUCUCCCUCUCACGGUUUGAGCAGAAAACAGAAGACAAAAGCAGAAACUGCACAAAGACAAGAGCCGCUCGCUGCCGCUCGCGCUCAGCCACCCGCGUGCCGCUCGCGUUGUGCCGUCCGCCGCUCACACCUCGCCUCCGCCUCUCCCGCACCACCUUUCAACCGCUGUCAAAGCUCUCUUUCUCCCCCUCUCUGUUUCAUGUGAAGCCCCGAUGGAAGUAGCGAGUAGCACCGCCGAAGAAGCAGCAGCCAACCGCUUGGACACCGUCGAAUCAAAGCUGCCGCACCGCCGCCCACGCGACGCCACGUGCUCCGUCACCUCACGCCCGCGUCUGCCGUCCUAGUUGUGCGCCAUUCAGCCUCGUUCGGUCUUUGUCCAUCUCGGACCGACCGCCUCCAGCCGCCGCCCAACUCUGACCGGUCGCCGUGCAGCCUACCCGGAGCUCCGCCCAUCCUUCCUGACCCUUGCUGCCCCCAUCCCUCUCUCUUUCUCUCUAUUUUGCAGCCGAUCCAGCAUCCCCGCCGUGUGGGUAUCCAGCUGGUUCGUGGGUGGUUUUGGGCCGUUUUCGAGCCCUGAACCCAAGCCGUGCUUUGGAAGGAAUCGUUCCUCAUGUUAUGCUUUGCACGCGAUUCCGGUGAAUAAACUCACUAAUCCUUGCUUAGUGGACUAAUUACGCUUAAUGGUUGUUUAGUUUUAUUUAAUUAGGGUUAGGUGGUUAGAUUAGUGUUUAUUAGUUAAUUGUGAUGCAAAUUAGACAAAUUGAAUGUGUAUCUAGCAAGUAGACAUGGGCUACUAUUUAUUGAAGGUAGCUCGGAAAUUUUCCGACCCCUAAUCGGGCUUCAAUUUGUCGAUUCGGGCCUAAGUGGAAUUUUUGGCAUUUAAAUAUUAUUUUUCAGAAUUAAUUAAUUAUUUAUUUAUUUUCCGAAAAUUCAAUUGAGAUGGCUAAUGACCAGAAUAUUAUGUUGAUGACCGUGGUGAAGUUCGUUUAUUUAAUUGGGCUUUAAUUUAAGCUAAAUUGAAUUUUUAAUAUUAAUUAUUUAAUUUUCGAAAUUAAUUAUUUAAUUAUUUAUUUUCCGAAGAUUCAACUGGGAUGGCUAGUGACCAGAAGAUUAUGCUGAUGACCAUGGUGAAGUCCAUUUAUUUAAUCGGGCUUUAUUUUGAGCUAAAAUGAAUUUUUAAUAUUAAUUAUUUAAUUUUCGAAAUUAAUUAAUUAUUUAAUUAUUUUUCGGAAAUUAAGAUUGAGAUGGCCAAUGACCAAAAUUUCGUGUUGAUUGUCGUGGUACAGUCCGUUUAUUUAAUUGAGUUCUACGUUGUGCUGAAUUAAUUUAAUUGUGGAUUUUUAGGGAUUUUUCCUAAAUCGAAUUAAUUUGAGUAAUUGACUGGUGAAUAAUUGGGUAUUGGUUGCCAGUGAUAAAGGUAUUGUGGUAGACUACCGAUCAUACUGGAAAUUGUGAAAAUGAAAGUGGGUAUGUAAGAUGUAUGCUGACCUGAUGACUCGGCAUGUCAUCUAGGGAUUGGGUCAUGUAUAUAGUGGAUCCAUGAUAAAUUCUAUGUCACCUUGGAGAAGGCAUGUACACUCGGUGAAUUGGUCUAUCACCUGGGAGAACGUACGUGGGCUUAGUAAUUAAGUGUGGCAUCUUGAAGAGACACGUGGGCUUGGUAAUUUGAUGCAUUACCUCGGAGAAUGCACGUGGUCUCAAUGAGUACAUUUGGCAUCUUGAAGAGACACGUGGGCUCGGUGACUUGAUGCAUCGCCUUGGAGAAUGCACGUGGGCUCGCUGAUUCAAAAUGGCAUUUUAAAGGGCACGUGGGCUCGGUAAAUUAAUGCAUUACCUCGGAGAAUGCACAUGACUCGAUGAUUGGUUCCAUCACCUCAGAGAAUGUACGUGGCUCGGUGAUAAGGGAUAUCGCCUCGGAGAAUGCACGUGGCUUGGUGAUUGGUUUUAUCAGUUGAGACUGUAGAGCAAUGACUAGACUGACCUAGGAAAUGGUUAGAGUGUCACGUAAUCGACUAAGUCGAUUAGUCUUUGCUUUGAUUCGAUGUUGUGAAUUGAUUAACUGAAUGGAAAUGACCGUGAGUGGUCUUGUUAGCAUGUAAUCGACUAGGUCGAUUUGAUCGAUGCUUCGAUCUGUGAUGUGAUUGCUUGGGUGUCUAUUUGAUCUAUGCUAACAUGCAGGUGGGAUCUAAGGCCAAGGUAAGUCUUCUAACUCGUGCUGUGUUUAGGCAGCUAUGUGGUGUAUUGGUUCCCUAAUUGAGUCUUAGUGGAGUAGAACUUGCUGAGACGUAAUUUCAUCCCGAUUGUGGGAUAUCAUUUCAAGCCCUUAGAAUGGCAGGACCUCCACCUCCUCGUCCUCGUAUGCACUACGGUGUUCCAGAACAUAUUUCAAAGUUUGAGACCAAUUUCCACGUCCACCCUCAUCCGGAAGGAUUGGUGUACGUAUUAGUUCAAUCGACCAUCUGGGUCAAUGUGGGGGAAGAAGACCAAAGGGCCCACAAGUAUCGGUCGUGGUACUGUGAUUACUUUGAUAGGCGCAGAGAAGGUCCUAUUCCGGAAGAGGAUGUGCCUUUUGACGUGAUGGAAAAGGCAUUUGGAGAGGGAACAGCCGAUCAAGUGGAUGGAUCGGUAGUGGAUGCGAGGGACCUGCAGUAGGAGGCCGGGAUUAGCACUCCCGUAUAUUCGACCGAGGAGGACAAUGGGCAUGAAGGUAAUUGUGAGAUGCCGCAGUAGGAGGUGGAAGCACCGGAGGAGGAUGAAGACUGGGGAGCAGCUGAGGAGAUGCUUGAAGAUGAGCCGGCGUCUGAAGCCGAGGAUGAAGCUGAAGAAGAGAAUGAUCUAAGUGAAGAGGAGUCAGAGGAGGAUCAGGAAGAUCCAGAGUAUGACCCAGAUGAGGAUUGAAAUCCCAUCUCUUUGUGAACCCUUUGUAUAUGUGUAGAUAGAGUGAGAUUUUGAAGUUGUGAAUAGUUUAUGAAGUGCUCUGUCUAAUGCCAUGUAUAAAGGUUUGGUUGUAAAUUUCAAUAUGAAAAAUAUAGCUUGUUUUUUUAUCUCAUUGUUUUAUUGUUUGGGGAUUUAUAACUGCUUUCGCAUGUGCUUAAUAAAUGAAAGGGUCAGCGAUACAUAGUCUUGAGAUAUCGCAUUCUAAAAUCGACCAAGUAGAAGGAUGUGUGCAUAUCCGAGGAUUGGGGCGUGACACAUCGCCUCCCCACCUUGGAGCGCGGUUUCAUCAGUACAUCGACGGCGUUCCCGAAGGAGCAUGGGCCCAGAAUCAACUGAGACCCGCAUCCGUUGCAUGGGGCAUCCCAUAUAGGGACAAUUCCAGCUCAAUAGCUCAAGACAAUUCCUCUUAAUUAUCAUACAAUAAUCUCAUAAUCAACUCAAGGCACUUUGCACAUCACUCACAUACUUCAAUUACAAUAUUAAUCUUUAAAAAUCCAAUUUCGAUGCCAAACCCAACAUUUGGGAUUUUCUAAAUAAAACCCAUAUUUUCCAUAAUUAACACUCAAUUUGCAUUAAUCAACCAUAAAUUUCAAAUUCUAAAUAUACAGCAGCGAUCAGCACGAAAUUCUGAACAAUUGAGAUCAAAAAUAAUUUUUCGAUUUUUUUUAAAUGAUAAUAUUUUAAUAAUUUUCGGAAUAUAAUAUAUUAUUAAAUAAUUCAAUAAUUUCAAAACAUUUAUUUAAAUUAGAAACAAAUCCCUUUAAGUCACAUCAAGGCUUAUAUUAAAAUAAACGUAUUUAACCUUUAAACUAAACAUACUUUAUCUUAAUUAAUCACCUUAAUCUAAUCCACAACAAAAUAAACAAAUCUAACCACCUAAUCUCAAUCAACCUAAGCUAAACACACUUAAGGCAUCAUUAACCCUUUAAUCAAGGCUUAGUGAGCUAAACUCACCGAAAUCGCUUUCCGACAAGUCUCCGGCGAAAAGCAUGACAAUGUCGACGACAACUCUACACGGAGCAACACCAAAGGAGGUCGGGAAGAGCUUGGAAACGCUCCUCGAAGAUUCGAAUCUUGCUGGCCGAAGGUUGUUGCUCACGGUCGGAAUGGAGGCGCGCCGGCGACUACUUGGAUGGAGAAGGAUCGAUGGAAGCAGCUACGGCUCGGGACGGCAACUAGCGGCGGCGAUGGAGGCUUCGGCGAGGUGCUACAACAUCAAGCAGCAGCUAUGGGAUGGCGGACGACGGGCUGGAACUCGCGGCGAAGGCGGAGCAGCUCGCACGCGGGACGGUGCGCGAUCGUGCGCGGACAAGUGGCGACAGCGAGCUCCGGCGACGAGCGAGCGAGCGAAGGGCGACGAACAGGGUCGGGUUCGCUAGUUCAAAACAACCGCUCCUCCUUUCUCUCUCCUCCAAGCUUGAAGAUGAUGAAGACAAGAGGGAAGUGACAUCCCACCUUUUUGGGAUUCAAUCUCCACCCUCCAAGUAUCACCACCCUAGCCCAUCUUGCCCCACCCCAUGACAUCACUUGUGAUGUCACGAUCCACUAACACCAACCUCCCACAACCUUAGUCAAAUAGGUUCAAUUUCAUUUUCCGCCGGGGCAUAGAAUCGUGUGUGCUAAUUUCUUCAAUUCAAUUCGAUCCUCUUCCAAUUGAAUCCAAUUAAAGUCCAUAAAUUAAUCCAAUGUUCCUAAUAAGAUUUGUGACACACCAUGACUUCCAAUUUCAGAAUUCGAUCUCAAUUUCACGGUUAAUUUCACUUUGGUACGAUACUAGCGCAUCCUGAUCUGCCGGGUAGCUUAUAGAAAUUUUUAUGCAUUUGACAUGUGGUUGAUCAAUUCAAGCCACAAUGUACAUCUUUGACACAUUGGCAACUUUCGGUUGUCGGGGUAAUCUCAAGAUUUCAAAUACAGGCACAAGGUACCUAAUCGAUAGAAAAGUCGGUCUAGUGCCGAUUGACAAGAAUUGUGCGAUCUGGUGGAAUCACCCACACUUGAUCACAUGUCUCUGUCGAGUUGACCUAUCUCCGAUCUCUAAUCGAUUUUUAUUUGUGCCGUAAUGACCCUUGCAGAUUAUCUCGGUCGAAAGGUCGCUUCCUGAUCAAAUUCUCAAGUCUAAUGCAUUAGAAUCUCUUAACGGCUUCAUCUGAUAGACUAGCUUUCACAUGAGUAGCCGACUCAAGGAAAUGAACUAUAUGCGUGCCAACGAAAUGCCCCGUCUCAAUUUAUUGAAAUUAGAAUUGGAAAAUUGGAAUGUCACAUAGACUGCCGGUGAUAAACCGGAGGAAGAUGAGGAUGACGUCAAAUCGUCAUGCCCCUUAUGCCUUGGGCGACACACGUGCUACAAUGGCUAGGACAAAAGGUUGCGAUCCCGCGAGGGUGAGCUAACUCUAAAAACCUGUCCUCAGAUUGGAUUGCAGGCUGCAAUUCGCCUGCAUGAAGUUGGAAUUGCUAAUAAUCGUCAGUCAGCCAUACGACAGUGAAUUCGUUCUUGGGCCUUGUACACACCGCCCGUCACACUAUGGGAGCUGGCCAUGCCCGAAGUCGUUAUCUUAACCGCAAUGAGGGGGAUGCUGAAAGCAUGGCUAGUGACUGGAGUGAAGUCGUAACAAGGGAGCCGUACUGGAAGGUGCGGCUGGAUCCCCUCCUUUUCAAGGAGAGCUAAUGCUUGUUGGGUAUUUUGGUUUGACAUUGCUUUACACCCAAAAAUAGGCGAGCUACAUCUGAGUUCAACUUGGAGAUGGAAGUCCUCUUUUGUUUCUGGACGGUGAAGUAAGACCAAGCUCAUGAGCUUAUUAUCUUAGGUCGAAACAAGUUGAUAGGAUCCCCUUUUUGACGUCCCCAUGCCCCUCCCGCGUGGCGACAUGGAGGCGAAAAAGGGAAAGAGGGGGAUGGGGUUUCUCUCGCUUUUGACAUAGUGGGCCUCAACGGGAGGCCCGCACGACAGGCUAUUAGCUCAGUGGUAGAGCGCACCCCUGAUAAUUGCAUCCUUGUGCCUAGGCUGUGAGGUCUCUCAGCCACAUGGAUAGUUCAAUGUGCUCAUCAGCACCUGACCCUGAGAUGUGGAUCAUCCAAGGCACAUUAGCAUUUCUCCUAUUCGAACCGGGUUUGAAACCAAACCUCUCCUCAAGAGGAUAGAUUGGGCGAUUUAGGUGAGAUCCAAUGUAGAUCCAACUUUCUAUUCACUCGUGGGAUUCGGCCAAUCCGGGGGGACCCCCAUGGCUCCUCUCUUCUCGAGAAUUAAUACAUCCCUUAUCAGUGUAUGGAUAGCUAUCUCUCAAGCAUAGGUUUAGGUUCAGCCUCAAUGGGAAAAUAAAAUUGAGCACCUAACAACGUAUCUUCACAGACCAAGAACUACGAGAUCGCCCCUUUCAUCCUGGGGUGACGGAAGGAUCGUAUCAUUCGAGCUCUUUUUUUUCAUGCUUUUCCCGGAGGUCUGGAGAAAGCUGCAAUCAAUAGGAUUUUCUUAAUCCUCCCUUCUCGAAAGGAAGAACGUGAAAUUCUUUUUCCUUUUCGCAGGGACCGAGAGAUUGGAUCUAGAUGUAAGAAGAAUGGUUGGAUGAUACCGGACUCAAAGGUAGGGCAUUUCCCAUUUUUAUAGGAACUUCUGUACCAGAAACGAUGGUAUCUCCAAACUCUUUUUAUUGGAAACUUUCCUUUAAUGAAUUCCCUGGGAACUUCUAUAGUAAAUGGAAUAUACAAAAUUGUGAUCAAUCAAAUAUUGCAAAGUCUCGGUAUCUAUUACUAGUCAUAAUUGGACCAUAACAGAAUUUCAGUCUAUACCAAGACCAUAAUAUCAAAUUGGAGAGGAAGAUUAGAAUUAGAGAUUGAUCGAAAAGCAAGGAUAUGGGCUCGUGUGAGUAGGAAACAGAAAAUAUCUAUUCUAGUUCUAUCAUCAGCUAUGGGUUCGAAUCUAAGAGAAAUUCUACCUCUCAAUGCUCUAAUGCCCACACCGAAUAUGGACUGGACCGUCUCACGACAUUCUGAACCCAGCUUGCGUACCACUUUAAUGGGCAAAAAGAUAAUGCAGAUAUGUAGAAUUUCGAUAUUCUAUAUAAAAUGGGUUGCCUGAGACUCGAACCUGGAACUAGUCGAAUGGAGUAGAUAAUUUCUUUGUUAAAUUCCCAAAAUGAAGGAAUUAUGGCAUCCAACAAAAAAAAAAAAACAUCUUUUAGUUAAAAACAAAUUGAUUUUUGUCAAGGGGUGAUUUACAUAGGUGAAUGUAAGGCGUAAAUGUAUUGCGUCUUGACACUAGGCCAUGUUCUAUAAAUACAUUAAUUAUAUGUCUUUUUUUUUUAGUAAAAAACAUUCAUUAUUUGUUCGCUUGUCCUAUUGCCAAUAUAAUUAUUAGUUAUGGAAACAUGACUCAAUAUGAAACCAGACUUUUAGGAUAAGGAAACAACAAGAAGUGACGUAGCAAUGGCAAAUGAUUUAAUUUGAUUUUGCCUAAGGAGGAAAACUAAAAUCAAUUCAGUCGAUAGUCUACUUCGCGCUAGAAAAUAAACGAAUCACUUGAUCUUCUAAAUUUUCUAGCAUUUGUCGAAGUUCGAAAUUUUCUAUCUUUCGACGGUAAUGAGAAAAGGAAGAAGAAAAACUGACAAAAAGGGGGGAAAUUUCGUUCGUGCCCACUUUCCAUUUCCAAGCCCCGAAGCAUAUGCGACCGGAGGUGCCCGACCCCACAGUAAUAAAAUAAUCGCUAAAAACUUUCCUCGCGAACGAGAAAAAAGCAAAGUAGCGGUGCCAGCCGCCCCCACCACCAGCGUUUUGACCCUUAUUUGAUCUCAUCAGUGACGUGGCGAGAUCUGGGCCGCGAAUCCACCUGAUGCCGUGAUCACCUUCGCCUCCUGUCGCUACGGCAGGAGAGAGAGGGAGAGAGGGGUCUUUCCCCGUGCGUGCCGCGAUGGAGGGACGGGGGCGAGUGGCGAGAGACCAAAAACCCUGCACGUGGAUGCAGCGAAACUAAACCCGGAUUUGUUCCACGGUCGAUAAGCUGGAUUUCAUAAACCGCCGAUACGUCCGAGGCAUUUUGUGGGGAACUUAGGGAAGGGAAGGAUUCCGAGUUUUUUGGUUUUUGGUUUCUUUGGUCAAAGAGGAGGAUCCGCAGGGAGGAAGGAGGGCAUCAGCGUCGCCAUAGCCGCACCAAGCAGCCCAAGCGCAAGCGCACGACCUGAAGGAGGAGGAGGAGGCCGGAGGAUUCGCCUCUCCCCGCGCGCCAUCGACCUCGAUCCAUCGCGCGUAAGUCUGGCUUCUUCCUCCGGCGGCGGCGGCGGCGGCUCGCUCCGGCGAUGCUUUGAUUAGGGAGACCGUCUCGGUCGUCGCCAUUUAUUUAUUGUUUUUUUUUUUUUUUUUGGUUUUGUGUUUUUUGUGGGGUCCAGUAAUUUUGGUUCAUUACCUGUGUUUGGUGAGCUCGUCGUUGAUGUGUUUUCGCAGUUUUUGAUCGGAUCACCUGGAAUUCGCGGCCACCUAGUCCGGACACUGCGGGUGCUCUCCCUUGCUUCUGCUGACGGAGGUGGAAAUGGAUUUGGUCUCUAGUUGCAAGGUAGUGUCAUUUAAGGGCGGCGUUGGUGUUUGCAGUCCUUGAGAGUCUUGCGUUGUGAUAGCCGAGACUGAUUAGGCAUCGGCCUUGUUCAUCUCGGUCUUUGUAUGCAUUAAUGCUCUUGCAUCCAUGGAUGUCUGUUGUCGCGUCGCGAGUGGUAUCAAGGAGCGAUGGUCGGUCGGUGUUUCUGGAGGAUGUGCUAUUCUUAAUAACAUGAGCGACCUGACCUUUCAUUGCCGUUCAAUUGCAUCGUGAAUUCAUGUUUGCAUUCAUUGCAUGUAUUCCGUUUUAAUAGCUUUGACUCGUGUGGCAUUGGGCGAAUUUGGUAAUGCUAUUUGUCUAUCAGAAAGGGAUGUGGCUUGUGAUCAAGCUUCAGCCAAUUUCUGUUUACCGAGACCUCAUUUGUAUGUACUCAGCAGUUGAUGUGGGUGGAAAUAAAAUAUUUGAUAGUAGUUUUAACUUUUGUUUAAGCACGAUCUCAUCAGUCCUCUCAUUCUUGCUGCUUCUGCGAUUGAGCGAUCCUUUGGAUUUUUGCAUGUCAGUGCGAGAUGGGCCGGCUAUUGCGCUGUAUUUGCACCUGCAUUGUCAUACAUUUCUAAUGACUAAUUGGGAAAUUAGGAAUGACAGGUUAUACUGUUUGACUUAAUUGUGCUUGUAGUAAGUGACCAUCUUCUUGAUUGGGUAUUUGAUUUCAUGAAUCCUUUUGGCGUGUCACUUGAAGGUCAUGGGGGAAGGAUGAGCAGAUUACUUCAGGAAAUGACCUGAAGUCGUCCUAGUCCUUCUCCAUUGCCUCUCCCCAAUUCUAUUUGCAUUUAGCAUCGUGCUUUGCUAUGAAAAAUGAUCUGGUCUUUCACAUUGCUUAAACAAUCUUUGUGUCUUUCAUCGGUACAAGAAAGAGUGCAUAGAAUAAUUGAAUCCGUAAGUUCCAUCCGUGCUAGUUGCUGCACAGAAAAAAUUGCAUAUCGAUGCUUUGCUUGCAUGAUUGAUAUUCUGGUGGUUCUUUCUCCUUGUCGGCUGCUUGCACCAAUAUAACAAUAUUAUUUAAAAAAAAAAGAGGGUAGUAUGCUUGAUCAUACCUUAUUUGCAUGAGUAUCAUAUUUUACUCUUGUGGGAAGACAUAAGUUCAUAAUAACCUUUUCUGUAAUUGUUCCUCUGUGAAAUUCCUUGACUCCCUUAUGCAAGGAGCAGCAAGUUGUAUCUGGAGGCCUGUCUAACUUUAGCUAUUGUUGUAUCAACCAAUAUUCCAUUUGAGGUUAAUCCCAGCUGUCCCGUUGCUGUAACUGAUAGAUCCUGUCAUGUACAGGACAAAUUAGCGUAUUUUCGAAUAAAGGAACUGAAGGAUGUCUUGACGCAGUUAGGACUUUCAAAGCAAGGGAGGAAGCAGGUUAGAUCUUAAGUUGAUACUAAUGUUGCUGUUUGCAUGCAUCUCAUUUAUGAGCUUUUAGAGCUGUUGCAGUUCGUGAUGCACUCAUACUGUGCGGAUUGGGUUACGACUGUUUUUCUUCACAUGGAACUUUGUCUUGUACUUGUAAGUUGUUCUGCAAAUAGUUUUUUGAAUCACUUGGUCCUGUGGAAGAUGGCUGUUUCCUUUUCUGUCACACAUUGGGAUCCAUGUUGUUCGACUAUUUUCAUUGCUGUUCUUGGCUUGGCUACUUCACUAGCUUGACAUUUUCUUCAAGUAAAUUCUAAUGGGGAAACUGUUGGAUUUCAUUUUUUUUUCUUGGUUCAUGUAGGAUCUUGUAGAACGGAUAUUAUCAGCUCUUUCAGAUGAACAAGGUAUGUGAUGAAUUUCCUUGCCAGUUGUACAUUGUUUCUAGUUCUUUCAAUAGACAAAUAUGAUCGUUUGGGCUUUAUUCACCCCUCUGAGUUUUGACGCAAUCUUGUGUGUUGUAAUAUAUGAAUUCAUGGGAAUUUACAUUAAAGUGUUAUUUUAUUCGUCAUUUACUGAUUUUCUGUGACGGUGCAUUCUUUUACCUGUUUUUUAAAGAAAUGUCCACCUAAGUCAAAUUAGCGUAUAGCUUAGACUUUGUGCCUCUUAUCAAAGAUAUUUCUUUAUGUUGAUAUAUGCCGCUUCUGACAGAGGUAUGAAGUUGUUGGAAUCUUUGUUUGCGUCAGUGCUUCUCUUACCAUAAGCUGAUUUUCGAGUUCUUCUCUCCUUCCUGUCAGUUGUCUUUCAAAGAGAGUGGACAAUAUUAGUGGAUAACAUGAUUACUGAAGGCUCAUCUCUCAUAGUUGGGCUUAUUGUGCUUUAAUUGGUCAGAAUGGGUCACAUCUAUUAAUGCGUGAUUUUCAUGCAGCGUGGACUAAAAUGUUGUCCUUGGUUUUUUUAUAGUGUCCAAGAUGUGGGCAAAGAAGCACGUGGGGAAGGAAGAUGUCGCAAAACUAGUUGAUGACAUUUACAGGUCUCUUCUUGUUUAUUGCUCUGUAUCUGUAUCAUUUGUCAUGAUUUGCACUCUGCCUUCUAUCUGAUGUAUGUUUCUGGGUUGAGCUUACAGAAAAAUGCAGGUUUCUGGGGCCCCUGAUUUAGCUUCAAAUGGUCAGGGAGCCUCAGAUUGCAGUAAUGUCAAAGUUAAAGGAGAGUCGAUUGACCCAUAUCGGUCAGAUGCAAAGGUCAGAUGUCCUUGUGGAAAUUCUUUGGAAACAGAGACAAUGAUCAUGGUAUGGAUUGUACGAAGUGUUUGCAUUUGGAUACAUUCUCAUUUUGUCCUAGUUGUUGGCAAAAAGAAAAAAGUGCUUUUAGUUUUUACUUGGUUUUCAUGCAUCCUAAAGUGAACCAAUCUUGGUUUGUCACAGUUGUUGAAAUUGUUACUUUUACCAUACAGUUAAAUUGGUUUUUGAGAAACCUUGAAGCCAGCACUUGCACCUUGGCAUGUUCACCCUUAAUCCACCCUCUUGUGUUUUGAUUUUCCUUUAAGAGUUUCUUCUGUUAUGUUGAAGUUGUUACUCAUGUUUGUUUUAGUGUCCAAUCUCCCUUCUUUUGUGGUACGAUAUCUGGGUGAAAAAUUACCUAUGCUUUGAAUGUGGCUAGAAAGUGAUGUGAGUUGUCACUCAUCAUUAGUAGUCCACGGACUUGGUAGAACCUGCAAGUGUCCCUUUUGAAAUUAAUGGAUUUCAUUCUUGAAAAAUAAAGGAACUGUGAGUAGUUUCAUGUCAUACCAUCAUUUCUGCUUUCGUUGACAUAUUUUUUAUUUUACGUGCUUACCUAUUUUCUUUAUUCUUUUUUAAAAUUAUGUUUUGUUCUUUUAUCUUUUGGUUGGCAGUGUGAGGACCCAAGAUGCCAUGUCUGGCAACACAUGAGUUGUGUCAUCUUUCCUGAAAAACCUGAGGAGGCUCCUGAAAAUUUUUAUUGUGAGCUGUGCCGUCUUAGUCGUGCUGAUCCGUACGUAUCUCAUAGUAGCAAACCUUCGCAUUUCAUCAAUAUAUCAACUGGGAAAUGUGACGUUCGGUCUUCAUAGACAUGGCUUUUUGUAUGGAAUGAUGAUAUUGACAUCCCUCUUGAGAAAUUUUAUUUAUUAUUCCAUGCGAAAC